GACUUACAAAAUGCUGUUGCUUAUGAUGAAGAGAUGUGGUACCAUGAAUCUCUAUAAAAAAUGUUACCGACCACUUAGGUGCUGAAUUACAGAGGAUUAAGAAGAUGGCAUCAAUCUGACUGGUUUAGGAAGACUAGCAAAGGGCUAGGCUAAAACUUCUUCCUGUAGAACAACUGAAGAAGAAGAAAAAAAGGAGAAACCUCCUGCAUAGGCUCGAGUUAGAAAUAACAAGGAAGGAAACAUGGAAAUGAUGUUAUGUUAAUGAUGGUAUCAUUAGCGUCGAAUUUGAAAAUUUUAACAGUGAACUCCAGGAUUAUGUCAAUGAUCAGGAAGUGGCCUUUAUUUGUUAUUAGGAUACGCUAUCUAGGCAUCAGUCGAGGAAGACAUUACAAGUAGAGCUACGAUUCGUGCGAGGGUUUACAGAAAAAAAGAUGAGGGAAAGAAACGAAGAGGAGUAAGAGGAAGUAAAAAGAAUACAUACUACACAAAAUACAUGAUCACACAGAUGAUGUAGCCCUCCUGAGAUAGCCCAUCCUUCAGCUUGGGCUAUACGGUUUUAAUGCCUAUGGCGAAGGAUACUUUAUGGUAGACGAAGCUGAAAAGAUUCUGUCAAGCUCCCAUCGAUUUUCUCAAGUUUCACUUUGAAAGAAAAGUGAGGUUGAAGAGUGAAGUGCUCUGCACCAACAAAUUUAUCAAGAGGUAGGUAAUUAUGACAACAACGUUUAAGAUGAAUGAAAUUAAUAUAAGCAUACGCCUGUAAAUUAGGGAACAACAGAUUGGUGAUGGCUUGAAGACUUGGUGAUCCGGGUAAUCUAGGUUCUGGUUCCUUGAUUAACCCAAGUUGGAGGCUUGACAGCUUCAGGAGGACUGCAUCAUCUCAGAUGUCUUCCCCUUUGAUAUGGCUAUUAAUUCAGUGGUUCAAACCACUAAGGUUUUCCUCUACCGGUACCGAUUUCUUCGGGUUAAUGUGUCCAGUUGUUACCGCCUUAAAUACUUUCAGUCUGACUGUAGCCAUCUCAAUUUCCUUUAGAUCCAACAUUAUCACACUGUGUGCCUCCAUAUGCUUUGGCGACUUUUACGUGACCCAGUUGGAAGAUACUACUUCUCAGCAUCUCUACAUCUUGGCAAUAGUUAAAGAACUAAAACAAUAGAAUUAGUAUGUGAUGAUACCUUUGAUGUCCCGUGUGUAUUAUUCAAAGUGGUUCUGAAUAAAGCUUGUCAAGUCUGGCCAUUAAACUCCAUAUUAAAGUCAUGUACAUUUUGAAAGUGAAACCAAAAACAGUGGUACUAAAAAUAUCUAUUAAGUAACAAUAGUCGGCCCUCUGAAAGCUUUAGAGUGAUCUACAUUUAUUAGAAUACAAUCGAGUCUAGUUCUCUUAGUAUCCAUCGUCUGUAGAAUAUCUGCAUGAUGUGGAAUUAAUUGUCUCUAUAUAUUUUGGGAAUCACACAGGUCCACGCCCAUCUAUCCACACUACCUACAAGUAAAUACUUUUCCUCGGUAUCUUGGUUAAAAUCAUUCAGCAGAGACAUGGGUGGGAACUUAUCAAAUAAUGUGAUCCUUGUUAAUGUACUUCGUUAGCAGUGCCAUCGCUACUUGACUUCUUUAGCUGGGAAUAGUCUUAGCCUGUUGCUAAUGGUAAUACACAACUAUCAAGUCCGUAGCGAGCAAGUCUAACAUAUAUUUGCAAAGUUCAAAACUGCCACUAGUCUGAAAAGCCUCCACCUAUCCAGAUUUAAAAACUGUUCUCUAUCUUGAGAUCUUUGUCUUUUCAACAGUGGUUGUGGUUGCUGUUUUGGUUACUGCAGCUGCAGUUAUUGUUAGUGUCGUCAACAGUAGUAUGUAUCAUUGUUCAUGUGACGUCUGUUGUGGAUAAAUGGCACGUUUGUGGUUGGUGCAACAAUAUUUGUAUCAUUUGAGUCAUCUGCUUAGAAACAUAACGUGCAGCUGUAUGUGUAGAUGCAAUACUUGGCAAAAGUUUUUUGAGAAAGACUAGUUGAAGCUUGCAAGUUUCCCCUCUUCACGAUACCAAUGUUUAUCGAAGGAACAGGCUGGUGACUAGGCUCGAUACAAUAUGGCAGUAGUAUCGUCGGAGACAGUGCAGUCGUCGUAGACCUCGGAACCAUAGACAUCUUGCCCGACUCUUCAACGGUUCAACUGAUUUGCCCUUUUGGAUUGAUAUUUUUAUUAUACCUGCGUAAUGAAAUACCACCGGAAAAGAGGUGAUGUAAACAUACAUCAUAGAAAUGGUUCCAGAGAAUAACAAAACGAAUAUAGUAGGGGAUAUGGUAAACAAUACAGAUAAAGAUAUCAACGCAAUUCCAUAUGAUGUUGUCAAUGGCCAUUAAGAAACGGAGUGCCUCCUGAGCGAAAUAACAGUCCCAAAAGUCGAUAAUGAAUCUUUAAAAGAAUUGAAAAAAUUAGCCAAAUAUAUAUAUCUUGGGAAUGAUUUUAAAAUAUGCAGAUAACAACAUACCAAAUCCCACAGCAGCUACAGAUAUAAAUAACAGUGAAAAGAAUUCCACUUGACUCUGCAUACAUAUUAGGAAGAAUGUCUAUACGACAGGAAAACAUGGGGCCGUGCUUAUCGCGCAGUUAUAGCACGUUAUAAAAUGACUACAGAAAAAUAUAACGACAGUAGCAAAUCAGUUUUAACUACUAAAUCUAAAUCUAAAGGUGUAGCAAAAACAGACAUAUAGUACUCUUUAUUGAAGAAAGGAAAACUUGGGGAACAUUCACAUCUACGUGAACAAUAUUCGGUGAACACAUUGCGUGACGUUAAAAAGAAACACUAACCCCAGACUGAAUGAUGCAACAGAAACUUCAACACACGCCAUAUUAACAUCAACUGUCCUUCAAUGUAGAUAACACAUGUCUUAUGGUGAAUCUUUCUGUGUCAAUACCUUACGUUGUAAUAUGCUUCCCUACACUAAUGCAAGUAUACUGGUAUAUGUUUUGUUUCGGUGCUUUAUGUUCUAAGAUCAAUUCCUGUGGAGGUUAAGUUUGUCUUUCAUCCUUCGGGGUUCGAUAAAAUGAAAUACCAGUCCAGUACUGGGGUCGAUGCUAUGAACUAUCAACAUUCCCUCAGCAUUUCUGUUCUUAUGUCUGAAUUCGAAACUUUCAGGGUAGAAGAUAGGCAGAAUCUUUACAGAAUCGGACAAACUGCGUUGCUGCAGUAUUCUGGCUCUUUCCAUUCUCAGUUGAGUUUUCAUUGCUGCAGUUAACACAAAUACAGAAAGAAAAAAAUUAAAUACAAUGGCAAAGUGAAACAUUAUAGGACGCAUAGAUAUGAGUGCUUGCCGGGUUUUCUAAAAUAUUAUCUAGUUUAUCAGCACCGUGUGCGUUGAAUCUACUACACAGGAAUUAAGGAAGAACCUCAUUCAAUUUCUACUGUUAAGUUUGUCGAAGUUAAUUCAAGAAACCUGUCGCAAGGUCAACUUGUAGAAUCAUGACUUGACCCAGCGCUAAAUACAUACAUUCACAUGUCUUUGAGUAUAAUGUUUCUUGCGUUAUUUUACUCGGUACACAUACAGAUUUCUGUUAUAGCUAUGAAUUUCUCAACAUCGUCAUCUAAUCAUUUAGAGUUCUGUGCGUACGCCAUUGAUCAGAACGACCUGAAUGUACUGUAUACAUCAAAUAUACUUGUAAAAUCACUAUCUGUCGGUUUGACUACCUUUUUCUUUCUCACGUUUCCUCUUCUUCAUGACUUCUUUCCCCGCCAUUAUAAGUUAUUUUAAGAAGGUAUUUGCCAUAUCCGUUUUGUAUGGAAUAAUCU
This is a long non-coding RNA of Octopus bimaculoides (California two-spot octopus), 3773 nucleotides long. RefSeq lists it as uncharacterized. NCBI's taxonomy places the organism in Eukaryota, Metazoa, Mollusca, Cephalopoda, Octopoda, Octopodidae. The record is from RefSeq and is a predicted model, not a curated record.